Molecule: non-coding RNA, 58 nt
Filed under: Sus scrofa (pig)
Lineage: Eukaryota; Metazoa; Chordata; Mammalia; Artiodactyla; Suidae
Source: RNAcentral
CUCGGACGCAGGAGGCCGGCGUAGACCUACCUGUCAGCCUCGGCCCCCCGUCCCUACC